Non-coding RNA from Phascolarctos cinereus (koala), 1600 nucleotides. The record is from RefSeq and is a predicted model, not a curated record. Lineage: Eukaryota; Metazoa; Chordata; Mammalia; Diprotodontia; Phascolarctidae.
UUCACAAUCUUGACCUUCUUGGGGAGCCAUACAACUCCAUACUCUCAUCCACUAUUCAGUCCCUUGCCCCUUUGUCCUAUUGGUAAUCACAUCUUGCCAAACUUGAAACCUAGAUUACUGCCAUCACCUGAUUCUGUCAUUCUUCUUUAUGUGCUACUCAGUGGACCUAGAAGAGGUCAUUAAACUGUGCUGAUUGGGUCUCCUACAAAUUUAUAUUAUCUAGUCCCUUUGCAUCUGGAUCAAGUCCAAGCUCCUCUAUAUUCAUGCUUUCUCUGCUUCCUGAACAGAACACCACCACCCAGUUCCCCAUCCCUCUUUAGGAACUUGGUUUUUGAUGUCACAUAAGGACAGUUUAUACUUUGUUUCCUGGAAAUUUUGACAUAGAUGGAAACCGAAACUUGUCUGAUUCUAGGAAAUCAGCCCAUUACUGGGCUGUUUGUGAAUGUGUAUUUGUAUGUCUCUAUGAAGGGCUCUGAACACCAAAGAGAGGAUUCUAUAUUAGACCCCUGAGGUGACAGGUAACCUCUGGGGAGUACAGAAAAGAGAUAUGACAUAGUCAGACCUGCAUUUGGAACGAUUACUUUGGUAGCUGAGUGUAGGAUUGGCUGGAGUGAGAAGAGAAAUGAGGCAUGGAGAACAAUCAGAAGAUAUUACAGUAGCCCGGGCAUGAGAUGAAACAUGGGACUAUUACUUCCUGGUUCCUUUUGUGUGAGGGAGAGAAGAAGAAAAGAGAGGAUGAGAGACAAACUGUUUCUCCUAGACUGCUAGACUGGGACCCUCUUAUUGAUUGUGGCUAGAAUAUAAUCCAUAGGAGCCCACACUGAAGUCUUCUGUAAGCUACUGCGAACACUUGGGGCUCAGUUCUAUGCUGAAAGACUUGGCCCAUUGGGAUGUUGUAACAAUCCCUAGGCUUCCAUGUUGGCUGCAGGGGAAGGAGUUGAUUAAGAAAAGACUGGCCACUGAGUCAGGAAGCACUGUCCAUUUAGAAGGAGUAACUCUGCCUUUGGCACUCUUUCUUCCUUUCUGACUCUGGAACUUGAAGCAUGAACUUUUUUUUUUCUGAGACGUCCUAUGGUAGAGUAUAGAGGCACCUUUGCCCACCUGCUAGAAAUGGUGCUUACUUGUACAUGGGUCUGAGCUUGAUGAUUUUUAGCCUGAACCUUGGGCCUCUGGCAGCCAUUUAUUGGAUAUUAAUCUUGAGAUGGACUUCCCAGCCUUAGAGACAACCUUACGAGUUUAAGACAUGGAGAACUUCUGGGUCCCAAAGUUAGUACUAACUCCAGGAUAGUAGGGAAGUAUUCAAUGCAGCUACUUUAGCCCUUCUUGGAGAAGCUGGCCACUGGUCAAGGGAAGAGCUGACUAUCUGGCCAGGCUUACCAGAAGACAUUGAGGGAGACAAUGUGGAAUCUAUGGAGGUGAAAUGCAUCUUCAGUAUCCCUGCAAAAUGCUUCAUGUUUUGAUAUUUUACAUAUCAAGCUUCUAGGAGACUAUUGUGUUUUAAGUUAUGACUUCGUAUUUAAGUCUUCAUCUGUACUCUUUAGUCUUUGGUGGUUUAAGCAUUUCUUUUGUGUGGAAGAAAUAAAUUGCUGUCCUAUGCCUA